RNAcentral lists this ribosomal RNA (278 nucleotides) under Glomeromycota sp. RNAcentral describes it as "partial small subunit ribosomal RNA". It matches the Rfam family "Eukaryotic small subunit ribosomal RNA", at positions 569 to 852 of the family's 1831-position model. Lineage: Eukaryota; Fungi; Glomeromycota. The record is from RNAcentral.
AGCAGCCGCGGUAAUUCCAGCUCCAAUAGCGUAUAUUAAAGUUGUUGCAGUUAAAAAGCUCGUAGUUGAAUUUCGGGGUUAGUAGGUUGGUCAUGCCUCUGGUAUGUACUGGUCUCACUGAUUCCUCCUUCCUGAUGAACCGUAAUGCCAUUAAUUUGGUGUUGCGGGGAAUUUGGACUGUUACUUUGAAAAAAUUAGAGUGUUUAAAGCAAGCUAACGCUUGAAUACAUUAGCAUGGAAUAAUGAAAUAGGACGUUCGAUCCUAUUUUGUUGGUUUU